ACGAGAUGCCCACAGUAGCGGCGAGCGAAGAGGGCAGAGGGCAAACCGGGGAGCUACGGCUCUCCGGGGUUGAGGACUGCAUUUAGUCUCAAUGGUUUAUCCGAACUACCUGGAAAGGUAGGCAACACAGUGUAAAAGCCACGUAGGUUAAAGGCCAGAUAGAUGAGCAGUAUCCAGAGUACCACGAGGCACGAGGAAUCUUGUGGGAAGCCGGGGGGACCACCCUCCAACCCUAAACACUGAAUGGCGACCGAUAGCGCAUAGUACCGUGAGGGAAAGGUGAAAAGAACCCCGGGAGGGGAGUGAAAGAGAACCUGAAACCGUAUGUCUACAAGCAGUCGGAGCGAAAGCGACGGCGUGCCUAUUGAAGAAUGAACCAACGAGUUACGUGCACUAGCGAGGUUAAGUGGAAGACACGGAGCCGAAGCGAAAGCGAGUCUUAAGAGGGCGGAUAGUUAGUGUACGUAGACCCGAAACCGCAGUGAUCUACCCAUGUCCAGGUUGAAGCGCAGGUAAAAUUGCGUGGAGGACCGAACCUAUGAGCGUUGAAAAGCUUUAGGAUGAGAUGUGGGUAGAGGUGAAAUUCCAAUCGAACGCGGAGAUAGCUGGUUCUCCCCGAAAUAGCUUUAGGGCUAGCCUCAAGUAGUAAGUAUAGGCGGUAGAGCACUGAUCGGGCUAGGGGCCAUAAAGGUUACCGAACCCUGUCAAACUCCGAAUGGUUAUACUGUAGAGCUUGGGAGUCAGACUACGAGUGAUAAGAUCCGUGGUCAAAAGGGAAACAGCCCAGACCACCAGCUAAGGUCCCCAAUGUCGUACUAAGUGGAAAAGGAUGUGGGGUCUCUAAAACAACCAGGAUGUUGGCUUAGAAGCAGCCACCAUUUAAAGAGUGCGUAAUAGCUCACUGGUCGAGAGACCCUGCGCCGAAGAUUACCGGGGCUAAAGUACGAAACCGAAGCUGUGGCUACGACUUAGGUCGUGGGGUAGGGGAGCGUUCUGUGAGGGCUGAAGUCGUUCUGUAAGGAACGGUGGACUUCACAGAAGUGAGAAUGUUGGUAUGAGUAGCGAAAAGAAUGGUGAGAAUCCAUUCCACCGAAAGCAUAAGGAUUCCUGGGCAACGAUCGUCGUCCCAGGGUAAGUCGGGACCUAAUCCGAGGCAUGGAGCGUAGGAGAUGGACAACUGGCAGAUAUUCCAGUACCGGUAAUGAUUGUUUGAGCGAUGGAGUGACACAGGAGGGCAGGCAGGCAGGAGAUUGGUUGUUCCUGUACAAGCGUGUAGGAUGGGACGUAGGCAAAUCCGCGUCCUGUGAGUCUGAGGCGUGAUGUGGAGGUUCCAGAAAUGGAACUGAAGCUGCUGACCCCACACUGUCGAGAAAAGCUUCUAGUUAGAGAAUUACCGCCCGUACCGUAAACCGACACAGGUAUGCGGGGAGAGAAUCCUAAGGUGCGCGGGAGAACCCUCGUUAAGGAACUCGGCAAAAUGUACCCGUAACUUCGGGAUAAGGGUAGCCGCUGUUGUGAAGUCUGAACAGACGGAGCAUGAGGCGGUCGCAGAGAAGAGGCCCAAGCGACUGUUUACCACAAACACAGGUGCCUGCUAAAGAGAAAUCUGACGUAUAGGUGCUGACACCUGCCCAGUGCCGGAAGGUUAAGGAAGGAUGUCCGGAGCAAUCCAAAGCAUUCGACCGAAGCCCCGGUGAACGGCGGCCGUAACUAUAACGGUCCUAAGGUAGCGAAAUUCCUUGUCGGGUAAGUUCCGACCCGCACGAAAGGUGUAACGAUUUGGGCACUGUCUCAACGAGGGACCCGGUGAAAUUGAAGUACCUGUGAAGAUGCAGGUUACCCGCGACUGGACAGAAAGACCCCAUGGAGCUUUACUGUAACCUGACAUUGGGUUCUGAUACAUCACGUACAGGAUAGGUGGGAGGCAUGGAAGCGAGGACGCUAGUCUUCGUGGAGCCGCCGUUGGGAUACCACCCUUGAUGUAUCGGAAUUCUAACCGUAGGAGUAACGAAACUCGGGACAGUGUCAGGCGGGCAGUUUGACUGGGGCGGUCGCCUCCCAAAGA
This 2065-nucleotide ribosomal RNA is filed under the name human gut metagenome. RNAcentral's name for it is "bacterial LSU rRNA". It matches the Rfam family "Bacterial large subunit ribosomal RNA", at positions 229 to 2296 of the family's 2925-position model. The record is from RNAcentral.